This 440-nucleotide ribosomal RNA is filed under the name uncultured bacterium. Its description in RNAcentral is "partial 16S ribosomal RNA". It matches the Rfam family "Bacterial small subunit ribosomal RNA", at positions 338 to 795 of the family's 1533-position model. The record is from RNAcentral.
CCUACGGGUGGCAGCAGUGGGGAAUAUUGCACAAUGGGGGAAACCCUGAUGCAGCGAAGCCGCGUGAGUGAGGAAGUAUUUAGGUAUGGUAAGCUCUAUCAGCAGGGAAGAAAAUGACGGUACCUGACUAAGAAGCCCCGGCUAACUACGUGACAGCAGCCGCGGUAAUACGUAGGGGGCAAGCGUUAUACGGAUUUACUGGUUGUAAAGGGAGCGUAGACGGGUAAUCAAGCCCGAAGUGAAAUCCCAGGGCUCAACCAUGGGACUGCUUUUGAAACUGAGUAGCUAGAGUGCAGGAGAGGUAGGCGGAAUUCCUAGUGUAGCGGUGAAAUGCGUAGAUAUUAGGAGGAACCCCAGUGGCGAAGGCGGCUUACUGGACUGUAACUGACGUUGAGGCUCGAAAGCGUGGGGAGCAAACAGGAUUAGAUACCCCUGUAGUC